RNAcentral lists this ribosomal RNA (1502 nucleotides) under Flavobacteriales bacterium. Its description in RNAcentral is "bacterial SSU rRNA". It matches the Rfam family "Bacterial small subunit ribosomal RNA". The record is from RNAcentral. Lineage: Bacteria; Pseudomonadati; Bacteroidota; Flavobacteriia; Flavobacteriales.
ACAAUGGAGAGUUUGAUCCUGGCUCAGGAUGAACGCUAGCGGCAGGCCUAACACAUGCAAGUCGAGGGGUAACGUAGAAAGCUUGCUUUCUGACGACGACCGGCGCACGGGUGCGUAACGCGUAUACAAUCUGCCUCAUACAGGGGAAUAGCCCGGAGAAAUUCGGAUUAAUGCCCCAUGGUAAUGGAUUUUCGCAUGAUUUUCCAUUUAAAGCUCCGGCGGUAUGAGAUGAGUAUGCGUCCUAUUAGCUUGUUGGUGAGGUAACGGCUCACCAAGGCUACGAUAGGUAGGGGGCCUGAGAGGGUGUCCCCCCACACUGGUACUGAGACACGGACCAGACUCCUACGGGAGGCAGCAGUGAGGAAUAUUGGUCAAUGGACGAAAGUCUGAACCAGCCAUGCCGCGUGAAGGAUGACUGCCCUAUGGGUUGUAAACUUCUUUUAUAUGGGAAUAAACGCAGGUACGUGUACCUGCCUGAAUGUACCAUACGAAUAAGGAUCGGCUAACUCCGUGCCAGCAGCCGCGGUAAUACGGAGGAUCCAAGCGUUAUCCGGAUUUAUUGGGUUUAAAGGGUGCGUAGGCGGAUUAAUAAGUUAGUGGUGAAAGCCCGGGGCUCAACUCCGGAACUGCCAUUGAUACUGUUAGUCUUGAGUCAACUUGAAGUGGGCGGAAUAAGGCAUGUAGCGGUGAAAUGCAUAGAUAUGCCUUAGAACACCGAUUGCGCAGGCAGCUCACUAAAUUUGUACUGACGCUGAGGCACGAAAGCGUGGGGAGCGAACAGGAUUAGAUACCCUGGUAGUCCACGCCGUAAACGAUGAUAACUCGCUGUUGGCGAUAUACUGUCAGCGGCCAAGCGAAAGCAUUAAGUUAUCCACCUGGGGAGUACGCCGGCAACGGUGAAACUCAAAGGAAUUGACGGGGGCCCGCACAAGCGGUGGAGCAUGUGGUAACCUUACCAGGGCUUAAAUGGGACCGGACAGAUCUAGAAAUAGAUCCUUCUUCGGACUGGUCUCAAGGUGCUGCAUGGUUGUCGUCAGCUCGUGCCGUGAGGUGUCGGGUUAAGUCCCAUAACGAGCGCAACCCCUAUUCUUAGUUGCCAGCGGUUCGGCCGGGGACUCUAAGAAAACUGCCAGCGCAAGCUGUGAGGAAGGUGGGGAUGACGUCAAAUCAUCACGGCCCUUACGUCCUGGGCCACACACGUGCUACAAUGGUAGGUACAGAGGGCAGCCACUACGUGAGUAGGAGCGAAUCCUUAAAGCCUAUCUCAGUUCGGAUCGAAGUCUGCAACUCGACUUCGUGAAGCUGGAAUCGCUAGUAAUCGCGCAUCAGCCAUGGCGCGGUGAAUACGUUCCCGGGCCUUGUACACACCGCCCGUCAAGCCAUGGAAGCUGGGGGUACCUGAAGUCGGUAACCGCAAGGAGCCGCCUAGGGUAAAACUAGUGACUGGGGCUAAGUCGUAACAAGGUAGCCGUACCGGAAGGUGCGGCUGGAACACCUCCUUU